UCCAGGGUAGCCUAGUGGACAUGGCAUCUGCCCGGUAAGCGGAAGAUUGUGGGUUCGAUUCCCGCCCCUGGAC
Non-coding RNA from Cordylochernes scorpioides, 73 nucleotides. The record is from the annotation of a GenBank genome assembly. Lineage: Eukaryota; Metazoa; Arthropoda; Arachnida; Pseudoscorpiones; Chernetidae.